RNAcentral lists this unclassified non-coding RNA (8427 nucleotides) under Pomacea canaliculata. RNAcentral describes it as "uncharacterized LOC112559049, transcript variant X16". Lineage: Eukaryota; Metazoa; Mollusca; Gastropoda; Architaenioglossa; Ampullariidae. The record is from RNAcentral.
UAGUGUCUUAUCCUUCAAUCAAACUCAUUCAUUCGUCCACACUAUGUUUUAAAAUGUGUGACCGACAGAAGUCUUCUUCUGAAAUUCCUAUCGUCGACGAAUUUAUCUAUAUCGCUUUGACGGGGAGAUCUUCCUACUCUACUUUGAUGACAUUGUUUUUAAGUAUAUCUGCUUGCGGACAUUAUUUUGUCUAUUUAAGUAUUAUAUGUUUAGAUUGAAUCUAUAUUUAUAUAUUUAUUUUACACUUUAUAUCAAUUCAUAAAAAUCUGAAUGUUACUAUUUACUUUCUUUGCAAACUGUUCUACAAUGACAAAAAACUAAACCUAAAGGAAUAUUUAUGCUGAUGUCAUGUUUUAAAAUGUGUGUAUUAUUACAGAUCAGUAUGGCAUGUGAAUGUACCCUGUUUGGGAGACAAUUGACAGUUGACUGCUUGAUUGCUCGCAUUAGAUAUGCCACUGAGAAUCAAAUGCCACAAUUAUUAUAGUAAUGAAGAAGAAAAGUGUAGCGAAAACAUAUCCAGAUAAAAUUCCAAUGAAUUCUUGCUGAUUUUUUCUCCAAAGCAAAGAAAACAUGUUUGUUGUUGACUUGCAGCCCAUUGAUUGAUGAUGAUGAUUAUAUGUGCCAUGAUAAGUGCAUCAACAGAUGUCAAUAUAACUUUAUUUAGAAAAAAUUAAAUGAUUCACAACAAUUUCAACGCAGAUGACAUUGUAGUAAUUGAUACCAUCAACUGAUCCAUCAAAAAAAGUAUGCCAUGAACUAUAUUUUACCACAUUAGGAAGUUUAAGUGUAUUCUGCUGAGCUUUCAUGUAAGCUGUGAAAUUCUUUCAUGUUCUUACCUGCUGUUGGGUAGUUGUUUCCAAGUCUUCUUUAUUAAAUCUUUCAAUCCAUUUUCUUCAUUUAUGCUACCAUUAAUUUUUUCCUCCCUCAAUUGAAAGUUACCAAGCAUUUAUGAGCAUAAAUAUGUUUACUGUUUACAUCAUAGGAUACAACAUUAGUUUUUAAGGAACUAACAAUUAAAGUUGUUAUUGUUUUUUAGCUGUUACCAGAAAACACACAGCUAAAGAUCUAAAAUAGAAUUUAUAUAAAGAUAUCUCUGUGUGUCUUUAUGUAUGUGUGUGUGUGAAACAGAGAGGGGGCUGAAUGUGUGAGUGUAUGUUUGAUAUGUGUUCAAAGAUCUGUAUAUAAAAUAUGGUAGUUACUCCCACUUUAUCAUUAGUAAUCAAGGCCUUUCUUAAUUUGACACUAAUUGCCAUUUCUAUACAACAUCCAUGUAUAAAACUUUACCAAACAGACACAUAUCCCAUGAAGUAUUUAUUUCUUACGCUUCUUUUAAGUUGUUUUGAUGACCGAGGUCACUAGUAAGCUCCGCGUCAUCGCUUGCCCUCCUCCAGCUUGAUGACUUUUCGCCAAUGAACGCGAGGACGAAAUUUUUCAUCAGAUAAACUUUUUGCUCUGGGCAAAUAUCCGUUCUUCAUUGCAGCUUGUCAACAUUAUUUUACAUUAUCUUAUAUUACAGGCCGUACUACUCUCUUCCUUCGUCUUGUCUUCCACUCAAACCGUGCAAAGUCGUGUGUUCGCGUGCGUGUGUAAUAGAGGGAGACAACAAGAGAAAAACAAAAUGAAAGAAAAGUUAUUGAAUGUACAUCAAAACAAAGCUUUGUUUUCAGCCUUUUACAAACCUGUACUUAUAAUUUUUGUACCAACAAGUCCACACAUGAAGACUCACCACCAACAUUGCCGUUUACAGCGCUGGAACUAUCAAGGUAACUGUGUGUCCUGAUCCUGGACUUUCUCUUGACAUCAACACUAACAAGUCUAUUAACAAGUCUAUUAACAAGUCUAUUAACAGGAUGUCUUUCCCUUAAAAACGAUAUGAACCUCGAUACUAACCGGUUGCUCAGUGUUUUUUAUUGGCGGCAUCUACAACCACACCAGGUAAAGACACAACUUGGUCGCCAUCCUCCACAUGAUGAGGGUAAGCUUCAUGCUCUCUACUAAAUACAUAAACGCUCUUUAUAAAUACUUAAGUCAAAUCCACCAUGUAUGUGUGAGUUUUUUUCCCAAUUGGAAUCUACUAAUAUUUAACACCCUUCCCCUUUUAAUGGUUUUCGAUAUUAAUGCCCUGGUCAAAUGAAGCUUGGAGAGACUGGUCACGUGGUGAGCAUUGCUUGUAUUGACAUCAAACACACUGUGCUUUAUUUUCCUGAAAAUGUUUCUAAAACCAGUUCAGGAUUCUGUCGACAGUCGACCUUUCUGCUCCACACAAGUGUCCGUUCAGCCAGAUUACAGAGAGCAAACACAUUAUAAACCGGACAAACACACAGUGUCAACUGUAAACAUCUUCCUGGUUUCUUCCACGGAGCAGAGACAACAUACAACAUACUUGAUAUCUACUGCAAGUCUACACAGUCGCCUGUUUAUUUGUAAACAUGAUGAAGAUCUCAGUCUUCUUGCUGCUUGUCUUCACUGAGAUGGUGUUGUGCUAUACAAGAGAAAGCACUUGUGAAAGUUUUCGGUGGCUUGACAGUAAAGGCAAAGGAAGUUGUGAUUUCAAGACAGACUUCUGCGGUUGGACAAACAACUACAAGUGGAGAGUCGGCUGUGCUACAACCAUUACAGAAACUGCUGCUUUGUGGAAAUUAAGAAUAAUGAGAUAGAACAGCAACUGAUGUCACCACAGCUUUGUGGUACUGAGGACGUCCACUACACAAUGAAUCUCAGCUAUGAAAUUCCAAAACCAAACAAGUACACACUGUCUGUGUAUCUGAUGACGGACCGAAAUGGGAAAAUGUUAUGGCAGACUGGUAACAAGCAGGACUUUUUAACUGAAGAGCUUCACUUCACUUUGCCUCAAGUACCGUUCAAGAUCAUGAUUGAAGGCGAACAGAAGGCGAAUAAGUGGAAGCAGGGUCAAAGCAUACUUAUCUUAGACGUUUUGUUUCAUCAAACGAACAUCAGAUCAAACAAACAAACACGCGUUAUCGAAAGAAAGACCUCUCUAUCUCCACCUGUUGUCACCAAGACAAAGAUCAAGGAUAACGGAAAUAAUUAUCGUACAAACGAUCUUUUGAUGACCACGACAACCACAUCAAUGACGAUGGAUUUUACUUCUCUAUCGGCAGGCAUCACACAGGGAUCGUUGACAGACAAUACCGUACCUGCCACGACACUUUCGCAGUCUAUCAGCAGUAAGUACCCUUUAAUAAAGACAUUUUUAUUGAGAUUAAUGUAGAGUUUCUUAUGGUAUGUCUUGGAACUGCUGAAACAGUAUUUACUAAUUACCUUAAGGACCUUUUAGACAAACCAGAAAUUGUUAAAUGUAAGACUACAUUCGAACAACCAUCUACAUUGUUGUCGUGUAGAAAAUAUUUGCUAGAAUAAACAAUGUGUCUGGUUAUAAAUAACCUUUAAAGAACCUUCUCCCCUACCUCCACAAAAAAUACCACAACUGUUAUACUUCGCUUGCGACUCUUGUUUACAAUGAAAUCAUUCUCUAAAAAUAAAUGCAUGCUGCAGACAAAAGUCCUUGUUACUUGAGCAAAAAGGAAAUUUACUUUAAGUGUCGAUGAGAUAUUAGAAUUCCUUGUCAGCUUAGUGCAGCUGCAAACUGAUUAAACAUAGCAACAUGGAACAGAACAGAUCCCUGGGGUUAAAUUAAUGCAGGCUGAUCGUGUAAGAAUUACCCUGUCACCAAACGUUUACAUGUUGUCACAAGAUGUGAUCUUGUUUGGACCUUAGAUACGCUAAUAUAAACAUAUGUCCACUUUACAUUACUAUUUUAUGUUAUAUGUAUCUAGUGCAUAUUGAUAUAGUAUGAUUUUCUUGUAUAAGAAAUAGACAAACUCCCUUUAGGACACUGGCUACAUUAAAAGCAAAUUUUACUUGUGCUACCACUAUCCUUCAGAAAGAAUUGUUACUGUAAUUGUCAUUGUAGUCAGCUGUGACAUGUUAAUAACUACAACAUGCAUCUCACUGCAGGCGUUAAUUCAACGGAUGGUUUUAUGAUUACCAUUGGCCACACAAUAAUGUUGAAAACUUGUUCUUAGUAUUCCUCUUCCUUUUUUCUUUGUUCUCUUACUGUAUCAUCUUCGAGACAAAAGACUAGUAAUUAAACCGUUCAUAUAUACAUAUAGAACAGAGAAGCCGUAAUUUGCUGAAACGAUUUAGUCCAUACACGCGGGGUAGUAGACCUCAGGUAAUUUAAUGCGCCUGAAUGUGCUAAUACAUUCUAAUACACAUACAGGCCAGUGACGAUUGAACACGCGAGCCACUAACACAAUACAAAAAUAAAUGUUUGGUUGUUACUUUUCAUUCAAGUUGUUUUGACGACAGAGGUCAUCAGUAAGCUUCUCGUCAUCGCUUGCCCUCCUCCAGCUUGAUGACUUCCCGGCAAUGAGCGCGAAUGCGAAAUAGUUCAUCAGAAAAAACUUCUGGGCUGGGCACAGUGUGUUGACAAUAUCCGUUCUGUAUUGCAGUUUGUCGACAUUAUCUACUUACAGGCCUACUAGUCGCUUCCUUCGUCUCGUGUAUUACACUAAAACCGUGCAAAGUCGCGUGUUCGCGUGCGUGUGUAUUAGAGGGAGACAACAAGAAAGAAACAAAAUGAAAGAAAGAAAAGCCGUUGAAUAUACAUCAAAAGGAAAGCUUUGUUUUCAGCCUUUUACAAAUAUGUUCUGAUAAGUUUUUGUACCGACAAGUCCGCACAUGAAGACUCACCAGCAACAUCGCCGUUUACAGCGCUGGAAAUGACAUGGUAACUGUGUGUCCUGAUCCUGGACUUUCUCUUGACAUGAACACUAACAAGUCUAUUAUCAAGCUGGCUUUCCCUUAAAACGAUAUGAACCUCGAUAUUAACCUGAUACUCUGUGUUUGUUAUUGGAGGCAUCUACAACCAAAUGAUGGGGGAUAUACUUCUUGUUCGCUACUGGAUACAUAAAUGCUGUUUAUAAAUACUAAAGUCAUAUCCAGCCUGCAUUCUUGUGUUUGUUUUCAAUUAGAAAAUACUAAUAUUUAACACUUUUCCCUUAUCACUGGACUUCUAUAUUUAUACAAUGGUUAAAUGAAGCGUAGAGAGACUGGUCACGAGAUGAUCAUUGCUUACAUUGGCAUCAAACACAUUGUGCUUUAUUUUCUUAUAAACGUUUCUAAAAACAGUUCAGGAUUCUGUCGACAUUUGACCUUGCUGCUCCAGACAAGUCAUCCAAUCAGUAAGAUUACAGAGAGCAAAUUAUAAACCGGACAAACACACACAGAGUCAACUGUAAACAUCUUCCUGGUUUCUUCCACGGAGCAGAGACAACAUACAACACACUGGGCAUCUACUGCAAGUCUACACAGUCGCCUGUUUAUUAGUAAACAUGAUGAAGAUCUCAGUCUUCUUGCUGCUUGUCUUCACUGAGAUAGUGUUGUGCUAUACAAGAGAAAGCACUUGUGAAAGUUUUCGGUGGCUUGACAGUAAAGGCAAAGGAAGCUGUGAUUUCAUGACAAACUUCUGCGGCUGGACAAACAACUACAAGUGGGAGAUAGGCUGGUGUUACAACCAUAACAGAAACUGCUGCUUUGUGGAAAUGAAGAAUAAUGAGAUAGAACAGCAACUGAUGUCACCACAGCUUUGUGGUCGUGAGGACGUCCACUACACAAUGAAUCUCCGCUAUGAAAUUCCAAAACCAAACAAGUACACACUGUCUGUGUAUUGAUGACGGACCGAAAUGGGAAAAUGUUAUGGCAGACUGGUAACAAGGAGGACGUUUUAACUGAAGAGCUUAACUUCACUUUGCCUCAAGUACCGUUCAAGAUCAUGAUUGAAGGCGAACAGAAGGCGAAUAAGUGGAAGCAGGAUCAAAGCAUACUUAUCUUAGACGUUUUGUUUCAUCAAACGAACAUCAGAUCAAACAAACAAACACGCGUUAUCGAAAGAAAGAGCUCUCUAUCUCAACUUGUUGUCACCAAGACAAAGAUCAGUAAUAACGGAAAUAAUUAUCGUACAAACGAUCUUUUCAUGACCACGACAACCACAUCAAUGACGAUGGAUUUUACUUCUCUAUCGACAAGCCUCACACUGGGAUCGUUGACAGACAAAACAAUAUCUACCACGACACUUUCGCAGUCUAUCAGCAGUAAGUACCCUUUAAUAAAGACAUUUUUAUUGAGAUUGAUGUAGAGUUUUUUUUUACUAUGUCGUGGAACUCCUGUAACAAGAUUUAUUCAAUUACCUUAGGGACCUUUUAAACCAACCACAAAUGUUUAAACCUAUGACUAUAUUCAACCAAAAGCUUACAUUGUUGUCAUGAAGAAUAUAUUUACUAGAAUAAAUAAUGUGUCUGGUUAUAAAUAACCUUCAAAGUACAUUACCUUCUCCCCCACCUCCUCAAAAAUACAAAUGAUAUACUUUCCUUGCGACACUUGUUUACAAUGAAAUAAUUCCCCAAAAGUAAAUGCAUGCUGCAGACAAAAGUCCUUGUUACUUGAGCAAAAGGAAAUUUACUUUAAGUGUCGAUGAGAUAUUAGACUUUCUUAUCAGCUUAGUGCAGCUGCAAUCUGCUUAAAGCAUAGCAACAGGGAACAGAACAGAUCCCUGGGGUUAAAUGAUUGCAGGCUUAUCGUGGAAGGAAUUACCCUGUCACCAAAUGUUUACAUGCUGUCACAAGAUGUGAUCAUGUUGGACCUUAGAUACGCUAAUGUAAACAUCUGUCCACUUUACAAUUACUACCUUAUAAGUUAUAUGUAUCUUAAUAGAUAUAGUAUGAUUUACUUGUUAAAGAAAUGGCUUACCGCCCUUUAGGACAAUGGCUACAUUAAAAGCAAAUUUUACUUGUGCUACCACUCUCCUUCAGAAAGAAUUGUUACUGUAAUUGUCGUUGAAGUCAGCUGUGACAUCCUUCUAUCUUUGCAGUGUCAGAGAAUGAAACCCAUGCGAGUGAUGCCACCACCUCUGAUACACAGUCAGCAAACUCCACCAGUGAUCUGACAACAGUAGCAGCAGCAGUGGCAGGGGCUGUUAUCGCUUUUCUUAUUUCCGUUAUCAUUGUCGUCGUACUCAUCAGAAGAAAAACAAAAAACACUCGAAAUUCGCUGCCUACAGUUAACCCUUGUCUCCUUCCUGUCAACACUGCUUGUGGACACCUCAACCCUUCUGUUGCAGCGCGAUCCGACCCAGACAACUAUGAUUGUGUGCAAGAUGCUCCUAGAGGAAAACAACGAGGUGCAGCUGGAGCAACCGGCUCCUCAACGUUGGCUGCUGACGACAUCUACAACCACACACACGACAGUGACAACAAGCAGCUUGGUCGUCAUGGUGAAGGUGGAGGAGGUCUAUACUCCACUUUGGCUACUGAAGACACCUACAGUCAUCUGCAAGGCAAGGAGCACCACAGAUUUGAUCGGCAGGGUGACGGCAAUAAAAACCCACAUUUAGUCACAGCUCCUGAGGACCAUUACAACCAUCUGUAACAUCCUAUCUUCUGGGGCGAAAUUACUGUAAGACAGUCGAUCAUGGGACUGCAUGAGCAUCACUCACACAGGUGUAGUGUCUACCUCCUGACAUGUUUUGCUAACGCCCUCAUGUUUCGUGACAUCCUUCAUUCAAACUCAUUCAUUCGUCCACACUAUGUUUUAGAAUGUGUUACUGACAGAAGUCUUCUUUGAAAUUCCUAUCGUCGACGAAUUUACCUAUAUCGCUUUGACGGGGAGUUCUUCCUCCUUUACUUUGAUGAUAUUGUUUUUAAGUAUAUCUGCUUGUCGACAUUAUUUUGUCUAUUUAAGUAUUCUAUGUUUAGAUUGAAUUUAUAUUUAUAUAUUUGUUUAUUUUACACUUGAUAUCAAUUAUAAAAAUGUUACUAUUUACUUUGUGCAAACUGUUAGACAAUGACAAAAAACUAAACCUAAAGGAAUAUUUAUGCUGACGUCAUGUUUUAAAAUGUGUGUAUUACAGAUCAGUAUGGCAUGUGAACGUACCAUUUCGGGAGACAAUUGACAGUUGACUACUUGAUUGCUCGCCUUAGAUAUGCCACUGAGAAUCAAAUGCUACAAUUAUUAUAGUAAUGAAGAAGAAAGGUGUAGCGAAAGCAUAUCCAGAUAAAGUUCCAAUGAUUUCUUGCUGAGUUUUUCUGCCAAGCAAAGAAAACAUGUUUGUUGUUGACUUGCAGCCCAUUGAUUGAUGAUGAUGCUUAUAUGUGCCAUGAUAAGUGCAUCAACAGAUGUCAAUAUAACUUUGUUUAUAAAAAAUUAAAUGAAUCUAUUCUAUUUUUUCCUCCCUCAAUUGAAAGUUACCAAGCAUUUAUGAGCACAAAUAUGUUUACUGUUUACAUCAUAGGACAAAACAUUAGUUUUUAAGGAACUAACAAAGUUGUUAUUGUUUUUUAGCUGUUACCAGAAAACACACAGAAGCUAAAGAUCUAAAAUACCAUUUAUAUAAAGAUAUCUCUGUGU